RNA transcript from Vigna angularis (adzuki bean), 2048 nucleotides. It is a transcript of the gene named V-type proton ATPase subunit C, with no coding region annotated. The record is from RefSeq and is a predicted model, not a curated record. NCBI's taxonomy places the organism in Eukaryota, Viridiplantae, Streptophyta, Magnoliopsida, Fabales, Fabaceae. The transcript is spliced from 13 exons.
UCCGUUUUCAUCCCUUUCUUCUCCAAAACAACCAUUCAUGCAAUGACGCACAACUAGAAAACAAAAUCUAAUUGCAUGUUAAAACUGUGUGUGUGGAAGAAGCACGAUCUAUUUCCAAUUUCCAUCAACCCUCAGACAAACAAACGAACACGGUCUUUCUCUCUGUAUAUUUCAUUUCUCCGCGUGAUCAGAGAAAGAAAGGUCGAAUGGCGACGAGGUACUGGGUAGUGUCUCUCCCUGUUCCGAAUUCCGCAUCCACUCUGUGGAACAAAUUGCAGGAAGAAAUCUCCAAACACUCCUUCGACACCCCUCUUUACAGAUUCAACAUUCCUAAUCUCCGCGUCGGAACCCUAGACUCUCUCCUCUCUCUCAGCGACGAUCUCGUCAAGUCGAACAACUUCGUGGAGGGAGUGUCGCACAAGAUCAGGCGGCAGAUUGAUGAUCUGGAGAGAGUGUCGGGCGCGGUGACCAGUAGUUUGACGGUGGAUGGAGUACCUGUUGAUUCGUACUUGACGAGGUUUGCUUGGGAUGAAACCAGGUACCCGACUAUGUCGCCGUUGAAGGAGACUGUGGAUGGGAUUCAUGGUCAGGUGGCAAAGAUUGAGGAUGAUCUCAAGGUUCGUGUUUCUGAGUAUAACAAUAUCCGCAGUCAGCUUAAUACCAUCAAUAGAAAGCAAACUGGAAGCUUAGCUGUGCGUGAUAUUUCCAACUUGGUAAAACCUGAGGAUAUUAUAACAUCAGAAAAUUUAACUACCCUGCUUGCUAUUGUUCCAAAGUAUUCACAGAAGGAUUGGCUCUCAAGCUAUGAAACAUUGACCAACUAUGUGGUUCCCAGGUCUUCCAAGAAGUUGUAUGAAGAUAACGAAUAUGCUCUUUAUACUGUAACACUAUUCAGUCGUGUUGCAGACAAUUUUAGAACUAGUGCACGAGAAAAAGGGUUCCAAAUUCGUGAUUUCGAAUACAGUCCUGAAUCACACGAGAGUCGCAAGCAAGAGUUAGAGAAAUUGAUAGAUGACCAGGAAAGUUUGAGGUCCUCUCUGUUGCAGUGGUGUUAUACUAGUUAUGGAGAGGUUUUCAGCUCCUGGAUGCACUUUUGUGCAGUACGUGUGUUUACUGAGAGCAUUCUGAGAUAUGGUCUUCCACCAUCUUUCUUGGCAUGUGUUUUAGCUCCAUCAGUCAAAUCUGAGAAGAAAGUACGCUCUAUCCUUGAAGGGUUGAGCGACAGCACAAACAGUGGUUACUGGAAGACCGAGGAUGAUGGGGUUGGGAUGGCUGGUCUUGUAGCAGGUGAUGCUGAUGCCCACCCUUACGUCUCGUUCACUAUCAAUCUUGUUUGAGUGCAGCCAGAAACGAGCCCUUUCUUCUUUCAGGGUAUUUCUGAAAUGGACAACCUUAGUAAAGUUGGUCAACAUAGUCAUGGCAGGAAUAAGGAGGACUUACAAAGUAGAUUCACAACCUUCAUGAGGAACAAAUGAUUGGCAGAGGUUUUGAUGCUUGACCAUAAGGGUGGGGUUAUGUGCAAAGUGUUGAUUUCCAAGUCACGUAAUUCCACAAAGUUUGAAAAAUAUGGAAGAAAUUUCGCACACAAUAUGGGUUGAAGGAAGGAGAUGAUAUGGUAUUUGAGGUCCACAACAACAAAACUAAUAUUAUUGUUGAAGUUUAUAUUAAUGGAUGUUGUUGUCAUGUUGAGGAAAUUUUGGUGUGAACCAAAGACUUGGUCAUCAAUUUAUGUAAAUGUACUUAAGUAGUUUAUUAUAAAUAGAAGUCAAUUUAGGUUGAAGUGACAUUUUUUCAUUGUUGUAAUUGACAGAUAUUGAUUUUAGGAGGAGAUUGAGAAGGAUACCUAGAGAGGUUAAUACUCAGUGUUGUCUAAAGAUGUUUAUACUUAUGUACCUAGAGAGGUUGAAACUCUUGUAACAUAGAGAGGAUGAUACUUGUUACUGAUCAAAGUUGCUGAUUAGUGAAACUUCUUAAGUAGGUUGCUUAAGAGAAUGGACGAAGCUUUGGGUGUAGGUGAACUAGUAUAAAUCUAUUGUGUGAAUUUUAUC